UAGGUGCCAAAAGGCUUAAAAGAGGAAGAUGGGUGAAAAUCCCACACAGCCCCCGCUACUGUAAGGUGGACGAAACCAAUAACCACUGGAUUAUUUAAUCUGGGAAGGAAGGGAGUAGAAUGAAACCAAGUCAGGAGACUUACCUAAAAACU
This 152-nucleotide non-coding RNA is filed under the name Fusobacterium ulcerans. The record is from RNAcentral. Lineage: Bacteria; Fusobacteriati; Fusobacteriota; Fusobacteriia; Fusobacteriales; Fusobacteriaceae.